GUUUCGAUUUGGUCUACACAUAUAAAGUGAAUAUGUGCAUCAAUCCCGCCUGCUGUGACAAUUUUACCCUCUGCCGCAAUAAUGUCUGUAGAAGCACCGAUUGUCAUUGUGACACCAUCCAUUAAAAGCGAGUUGCCCGCUUUUCCGAUAUUGGCAAUCCGCCCGUUUUUCACACCGAUAUCUGCUUUAUAAAUGCCGGUAUAGUCAAUAACGACAGCAUUAGUCAGCACCAAAUCCAUACAAUCUGCCUCUACUGCAAGCGGAUGCUGGCCCAUACCAUCUCG
Molecule: small RNA, 284 nt
Filed under: uncultured Solibacillus sp.
Lineage: Bacteria; Bacillati; Bacillota; Bacilli; Caryophanales; Caryophanaceae
Description: 5' ureB small RNA
Rfam family: 5' ureB small RNA
Source: RNAcentral